UAGUUGCCACUUUUGGACUAUCAAGGAGAUGUUCUCCACCACUGGAGUGAGCAAGGAAAUCUUGAGGAGGAACUGCUUCAGUCUCCAAAUUUGAUCAAGCAGGGAGAUGUCCUUCAACACUGGAUCUAAGAAGCAGUGAUUGUUGAUGAGUGGGUUCAGCUGGUGCCCAUUGAUAUUCAAGCUUUUGUGUACACUAGCACUCUUGUCUUCCACCGUGGGUGUUUGUUGAUCAAACUCAUGUGUACCUCCUGCAACAUGGUUAGUGCAAUGUGGUUCUAAAG
This 281-nucleotide long non-coding RNA is filed under the name Vigna radiata. RNAcentral's name for it is "long non-coding RNA (VRAD_LNC014786)". The record is from RNAcentral. Lineage: Eukaryota; Viridiplantae; Streptophyta; Magnoliopsida; Fabales; Fabaceae.